CACGUGAGCAACCUGCCCCUAACUCUGGGAUAACUCCGGGAAACCGGAGCUAAUACCGGAUACGAGACACUCGGGCAUCCGAUGUGUCUGGAAAGAUUUAUCGGUUAGGGAUGGGCUCGCGGCCUAUCAGCUUGUUGGCGGGGUAACGGCCCACCAAGGCGACGACGGGUAGCCGGCCUGAGAGGGCGACCGGCCACACUGGGACUGAGACACGGCCCAGACUCCUACGGGAGGCAGCAGUGGGGAAUAUUGCGCAAUGGGCGAAAGCCUGACGCAGCGACGCCGCGUGAGGGACGAAGGCCUUCGGGUUGUAAACCUCUUUCAGCAGGGAAGAAGCGAAAGUGACGGUACCUGCAGAAGAAGCACCGGCUAACUACGUGCCAGCAGCCGCGGUAAUACGUAGGGUGCAAGCGUUGUCCGGAAUUAUUGGGCGUAAAGAGCUCGUAGGCGGUUUGUCGCGUCUGCUGUGAAAACUCGGGGCUUAACCCCGGGCCUGCAGUGGGUACGGGCAGACUAGAGUGCGGUAGGGGAGACUGGAAUUCCUGGUGUAGCGGUGAAAUGCGCAGAUAUCAGGAGGAACACCGGUGGCGAAGGCGGGUCUCUGGGCCGUAACUGACGCUGAGGAGCGAAAGCAUGGGGAGCGAACAGGGUUAGAUACCCUGGGAGUCAUGCCGUAAACGUUGGGCGCUAGGUGUGGGGCUCUUUCCACGAGUUCCGUGCCGCAGCAAACGCAUUAAGCGCCCCGCCUGGGGAGUACGGCCGCAAGGCUAAAACUCAAAGGAAUUGACGGGGGCCCGCACAAGCGGCGGAGCAUGCGGAUUAAUUCGAUGCAACGCGAAGAACCUUACCAAGGCUUGACAUGAACGGUAAUCCGGCAGAGAUGUCGGGUCCGUAAGGGCCGCUCACAGGUGGUGCAUGGUUGUCGUCAGCUCGUGUCGUGAGAUGUUGGGUUAAGUCCCGCAACGAGCGCAACCCUCGUUCUAUGUUGCCAGCACGUAAUGGUGGGGACUCAUAGGAGACUGCCGGGGUCAACUCGGAGGAAGGUGGGGAUGACGUCAAAUCAUCAUGCCCCUUAUGUCUUGGGCUUCACGCAUGCUACAAUGGCCAGUACAAAGGGCUGCGAGACCGAAGGUGGAGCGAAUCCCAAAAAGCUGGUCUCAGUUCGGAUCGGGGUCUGCAACUCGACCCCGUGAAGUCGGAGUCGCUAGUAAUCGCAGAUCAGCAACGCUGCGGUGAAUACGUUCCCGGGCCUUGUACACACCGCCCGUCACGCCACGAAAGUCGGUAACACCCGAAGCCGGUGGCCCAACCCUUGUGGAGAGAGCCGUCGAAGGUGGGACUGGCGAUU
Molecule: ribosomal RNA, 1348 nt
Filed under: metagenome
Description: bacterial SSU rRNA
Rfam family: Bacterial small subunit ribosomal RNA
Source: RNAcentral